ACGGGAGGCAGCAGUGGGGAAUAUUGCACAAUGGGCGCAAGCCUGAUGCAGCGAUGCCGCGUGAGGGAAGAAGGUUUUCGGAUUGUAAACCUCUGUCAACAGGGACGAAAAUGACGGUACCUGCAGAAGAAGCUCCGGCUAACUACGUGCCAGCAGCCGCGGUAAUACGUAGGGAGCGAGCGUUAUCCGGAUUCAUUGGGCGUAAAGCGCGCGUAGGCGGCUUGCCAAGCGGAACCUCUAACCCGAGGGCUCAACCCCCGGCCGGGUUCCGAACUGGCAGGCUCGAGUGCGGUAGGGGCAAGUGGAAUUCCAUGUGUAGCGGUGGAAUGCGCAGAUAUAUGGAAGAACACCGAUGGCGAAGGCAGCUUGCUGGGCCGUCACUGACGCUGAGGUGCGAAAGCGUGGGUAGCGAACAGGAUUAGAUACCCUGGUA
RNAcentral lists this ribosomal RNA (433 nucleotides) under uncultured Gordonibacter sp. RNAcentral's name for it is "partial 16S ribosomal RNA". It matches the Rfam family "Bacterial small subunit ribosomal RNA", at positions 341 to 792 of the family's 1533-position model. Lineage: Bacteria; Bacillati; Actinomycetota; Coriobacteriia; Eggerthellales; Eggerthellaceae. The record is from RNAcentral.